This 459-nucleotide ribosomal RNA is filed under the name uncultured bacterium. RNAcentral describes it as "partial 16S ribosomal RNA". It matches the Rfam family "Bacterial small subunit ribosomal RNA", at positions 338 to 795 of the family's 1533-position model. The record is from RNAcentral.
CCUACGGUGCGCAGCAGUGAGGAAUAUUGGUCAAUGGACGAGAGUCUGAACCAGCCAAGUAGCGUGCAGGAUGACUGCCCUAUGAGUUGUAAACUUCUUUUAUAUGGGGAUAAAACGUUCCACGUGUGGGAUUUUGUAUGUACCAUAUGAAUAAGGAUCGGCUAACUCCGUGCCAGCAGCCGCGGUAAUACGGAGGAUCCGAGCGUUAUCCGGUUUUAUUGGGUUUAAAGGGAGCGUAGGUGGAUGGUUAAGUCAGUUGUGAAAGUUUGCGGCUCAACCUCUUCGAGCCGUUGAAACGUGUCUUCUUGAGUGAGCGAGAAGUAUGCGGAAUGUGUGGUGUAGCGGUGAAAUGCAUAGAUAUCACGCAGAACUCCGAUUGCGAAGGCAGCAUACCGGCGCUCAACUGACGCUCAUGCACGAAAGUGUGGGUAUCGAACAGGAUUAGAUACCCCUGUAGUC